AUUGUAACAAGUUGUGCCAGGUGUUACAAAGAAAAGAAAGAGGACACUAUUAGAAGAGGGCAGAAGGUGGGGCUGAAAGUUUCAACCCUCUAAUCACAUGGUUGGUUCGUCUGGCAAUCCACCCCAUCCUAAAGCUAUCCAGGGACUCAACAAGAAUCAACUCAUUAGCAUAAACUCAGGUAUGGUUGAAAGAGGGCUUAUUAUGAAAUACCAAAGAUUCUCCUCUUACUCUUUUCACUUCGGAAAUUCCAAGAGUUUUAGAGGCUCUUAUACCAGGAACCAGGGAUGAACACCAUGUAUGUAUUUCUUAUGAACACCAAAUACAUAUUUCUUAUAUCACAAUAUCACAGCUGAACAGGUGUUUUUAAUGGAGUCCAGCUUAUCAAUUUUUUUUCCAUGGGUCAUGCCUUUGGUGCUAUAUCUAAGGUCAUUGCCAUACCCAAGGUCAUCUAGACUUUCUCUUUUGUUAUCUUCUAGGGGUCUUACCAUUUUGCAUUUUAAACUUAGUUCUAUGAUCCACUUAGAGUUAAUUUUUAUGAAGGAUAUAAGGUCUGUGUCUAUAUCCUUUUUUUUUUUUAAACAUGUAUGUGUCCAGUUUUACCAGACCAUUUGCUGAAAAGACUAUCUUUCUCCACUGUAUGGUCAACUCAUUUAUUUUUAAUUCCAUGCAGCUAUCUCUUUGGCUAAGGAAUGUAGAUAGUAUGAGAAUAGUGACUCUAUAAUGAUUGUUUGAGGAGGCAAGUACAAGUAAUCAGCUCAGUGAUUUUCCUUUACGUGACACCAUAGGCACAUUCCAACAUUCCAGCAAAGCUCACUCUCCUCUCUCCUUGAGCCCCAGGGAGACGCAGAGCCCUGAUGAUCCUGUUAGCCCUGAAUUGAGCCAACUUGAAGACUUUUCAGUAAGGUGACCCAUUAAGUCCUUUUGCUAAGCUGGUCUGGAAAGAUAAUGAGAUCGCCUUUUCCUUUCUAACUCUACCCUGCUGUGUUCUUUCUCUUCCUUUAGGUGAACACAAUGUUCAAGAGAAAUAACCUUUGGGGGAAACUGCGUGGUUUUAAAGCCCUUACCCAGUUACCAGUAUCUAUAUAAUGUCAGACAGUUACAUAUUUGGAAAUAUAAGGACUAGUAACUGGAUCUGACCAAGUCCUAGUUCUGUCACUCAUUAGCUGUGCAGCUGAAGACAGGUGUUUUUUUUCUCCCCCUUCUAACAUUUUCAGUUUCUUCACCUUCAGGGUGUGUGUUCUUACUGUUGUAGGUCCAAGUUUAUCAUGUCUUUUAAAUUGCAAAGCUUUUCUAAAUAUCUGCACUGUAAAUUUUUCUUUUUAAAAUGAUAGUUGAUUUACACAGUUGUGCCAAUUGCUGCUGUACAGAAAAGUGACUCAGUCAUACAUACAUAUACAUUCCCUUUCUUAUAUUAUCUUCCAUCAUGGUCUAUCCCAAGAGACUGGAUAUAGUUCCCUAGGCACUGUAAAUUUUUCUUGAGAGAGAAAUUCAUAGCUUUAUAUAAUUCCCAAGUUUGGGCUUUGUGACUUCAGACUUAAACUCUAGAAUAUGGUCUUGUCAUUCUCUUAAUACAUCAAAAAAAUGUUUUGGCAACUUAUAGGCAAUAUCAGAGACCCUCUCCCCCCCCCCCCCCCCAGCAUAAUGUUGAGUAUGUUCUUUAAGGAAAGAGUUCUUUAAUUCUAUUAAAGUUUUAUUAGUGCUCUGUCUUUUUUGGUAAGUUUUUGGGGCCAGUGUGUCCUAGGACAAACCAGAGUCCUUGGGCAGCAGGGAAAGCCUCGCCCUGCCCCAAGUGGGAGGGCCAUGGGACAUGGAAAAAAUGUCAAGUUGAAAUUGUAAAUAGUCAGGAGAGGCCCAAAUUUCUAGAAUGGAAAGAGUAAGGUUUUGUUUUGUUUUUCCCAGAAAUGCAAAAACAUUAGUAAGAGCUCAGAUGGACUCUGUGCCUCUCUUCACUGCUCUGAUAAUGGGCAGCCCAGGGUGAACUCUUCUGGGCAAAUGCAGUAUCUUGAGAGAACAUACUCAGUGCCAUGUACAUGCAGCUCUGAUCACAGCUUCUGCUCCUGAGUUGACAGGUGUGUCCUAUGCAUUGGGUUAGGGUUUUGCUGUUGAAAAUUUUGCCUAAAAUAUGGUUGAUCCAUCCAAUUCCAGGAGUGUGGAUAUCUUUGAUUUGGAAUUCUAUAACCUUUCAAAAAAGGGGUAGAUGUUUAAUGAAUCGCUCUAAAUUUUCCUUUUCUCCUAGGCUCCUCCUUAUUACUAGCUGUAAGACUCGGGGGUGGGGUGGGGAAGGACGUGAGAGAGAGAGAGAAUACCAAAGAGCACACUCACUUAUCAAGAGGUUUGGACCAUGGCCGAUUUGAAAUAUUACUAACCUUGCAUUUUCAAAUUUGAUGCACAACAACCAAGAUGCUAAUACUUUCCUUAGUUUAGAAAAAAAAAAA
RNAcentral lists this long non-coding RNA (2436 nucleotides) under Sus scrofa (pig). Its description in RNAcentral is "lncRNA (ENSSSCG00040026960.1)". Lineage: Eukaryota; Metazoa; Chordata; Mammalia; Artiodactyla; Suidae. The record is from RNAcentral.